This 603-nucleotide ribosomal RNA is filed under the name uncultured bacterium. RNAcentral's name for it is "bacterial SSU rRNA". It matches the Rfam family "Bacterial small subunit ribosomal RNA", at positions 8 to 589 of the family's 1533-position model. The record is from RNAcentral.
AGAGUUUGAUCAUGGCUCAGGACGAACGCUGGCGGCGUGCCUAACACAUGCAAGUCGAGCGAUGAUAGCUGUUCACUAAGCUCUUUCUUUUAAAGAGGAAAGAACUUAGUGAACAGCUUGAUUAGCGGCGGACGGGUGAGUAACGCGUGAGCAAUCUGCCUUACACAAAGGGAUAGCCUCGGGAAACUGGGAUUAAUACCAUAUGAAACUUAAAAACCGCAUGGUUAAUAAGUCAAAGAUUUAUCGGUGUAAGAUGAGCUCGCGUCUGAUUAGCUAGUUGGUAGGGUAAAGGCCUACCAAGGCGACGAUCAGUAGCCGGCCUGAGAGGGUGAACGGCCACACUGGAACUGAGAAACGGUCCAGACUCCUACGGGAGGCAGCAGUGGGGAAUAUUGCACAAUGGGCGCAAGCCUGAUGCAGCGACGCCGCGUGAGCGAAGAAGGUUUUCGGAUCGUAAAGCUCUGUCCUUUGGGAAGAAAAAAAUGACGGUACCAAAGGAGGAAGCCCCGGCUAACUACGUGCCAGCAGCCGCGGUAAUACGUANGGGGCGAGCGUUGUCCGGAUUUACUGGGCGUAAAGGGUGAGUAGGCGGUAACGUGUGUC